This 73-nucleotide transfer RNA is filed under the name Paramuricea clavata. It matches the Rfam family "tRNA". Rfam says of the family: Transfer RNA (tRNA) molecules are approximately 80 nucleotides in length. Their secondary structure includes four short double-helical elements and three loops (D, anti-codon, and T loops). The record is from Rfam by way of RNAcentral. Lineage: Eukaryota; Metazoa; Cnidaria; Anthozoa; Malacalcyonacea; Plexauridae.
GCCUCUGUAGCUCAGUUGGUUAGAGCGCUGCACCGGAAUCCCAGGGCCGUAGGUUCAAUUCCUACCAGAGGAC